UACAGAGGUCUCAAGCGUUGUUCGGAUUCAUUGGGCGUAAAGGGUGUGUAGGUGGCGCCGUAAGUCGGGUGUGAAAUUUCGGAGCUUAACUCCGAAACUGCAUUCGAUACUGCGGUGCUUGAGGACUGGAGAGGAGACUGGAAUUCAUGGUGUAGCAGUGAAAUGCGUAGAGAUCAUGAGGAAGACCAGUGGCGAAGGCGGGUCUCUGGACAGUUCCUGACGCUGAAGCACGAAGGCCAGGGGAGCAAACGGG
Molecule: ribosomal RNA, 253 nt
Filed under: uncultured bacterium
Lineage: Bacteria
Description: partial 16S ribosomal RNA
Rfam family: Bacterial small subunit ribosomal RNA
Source: RNAcentral